This 460-nucleotide ribosomal RNA is filed under the name uncultured bacterium. RNAcentral describes it as "partial 16S ribosomal RNA". It matches the Rfam family "Bacterial small subunit ribosomal RNA", at positions 338 to 795 of the family's 1533-position model. The record is from RNAcentral.
CCUACGGGAGGCAGCAGUGAGGAAUAUUGGUCAAUGGCCGGAAGGCUGAACCAGCCAUGCCGCGUGAAGGUUAGUGCCCCAUGGGCGUUAAACCUCUUUUGUGCGGGAGCAAUAAUGGUCACGUGUGGCCAGACGAGAGUACCGUACGAAUAAGCAUCGGCUAAAUCCGUGCCAGCAGCCGCUGUGAUACGGGGGAUGCAAGCGUUUUCCGGGUUUAUUGGGGUUAAAGGGUGCGUUGGCUGGGAGGUAAGUCUGCGGGGAAAUGCCCCCGCUCAACGGGGUGAAGUGCCAUUGAUACUGCCUGGCUGGAAUGCGGAUGCGGUGGGAGGAAUGUGUGGUGUAGCGGUGAAAUGCAUAGAUAUCACGAAGAACACCGAUUGCGAAGGCAUCUCACGGAUCCGCGAUUGACGCUGAUGCACGAAAGCGUGGGUAUCAAACAGGAUUAGAUACCCGUGUAGUC